RNAcentral lists this transfer RNA (74 nucleotides) under Bacteroidota bacterium. RNAcentral's name for it is "Bacteroidetes bacterium tRNA-Ala". It matches the Rfam family "tRNA". Rfam says of the family: Transfer RNA (tRNA) molecules are approximately 80 nucleotides in length. Their secondary structure includes four short double-helical elements and three loops (D, anti-codon, and T loops). RNAcentral also lists the same sequence under 5 other names. The record is from RNAcentral. Lineage: Bacteria; Pseudomonadati; Bacteroidota.
GGGGGAUUAGCUCAGCUGGCCAGAGCACCUGCCUUGCACGCAGGGGGUCAUCGGUUCGACUCCGAUAUCCUCCA